RNAcentral lists this ribosomal RNA (2062 nucleotides) under Escherichia coli. RNAcentral's name for it is "partial 23S ribosomal RNA". It matches the Rfam family "Bacterial large subunit ribosomal RNA", at positions 804 to 2843 of the family's 2925-position model. Lineage: Bacteria; Pseudomonadati; Pseudomonadota; Gammaproteobacteria; Enterobacterales; Enterobacteriaceae. The record is from RNAcentral.
AUGACUUGUGGCUGGGGGUGAAAGGCCAAUCAAACCGGGAGAUAGCUGGUUCUCCCCGAAAGCUAUUUAGGUAGCGCCUCGUGAAUUCAUCUCCGGGGGUAGAGCACUGUUUCGGCAAGGGGGUCAUCCCGACUUACCAACCCGAUGCAAACUGCGAAUACCGGAGAAUGUUAUCACGGGAGACACACGGCGGGUGCUAACGUCCGUCGUGAAGAGGGAAACAACCCAGACCGCCAGCUAAGGUCCCAAAGUCAUGGUUAAGUGGGAAACGAUGUGGGAAGGCCCAGACAGCCAGGAUGUUGGCUUAGAAGCAGCCAUCAUUUAAAGAAAGCGUAAUAGCUCACUGGUCGAGUCGGCCUGCGCGGAAGAUGUAACGGGGCUAAACCAUGCACCGAAGCUGCGGCAGCGACGCUGAUGCGUUGUUGGGUAGGGGAGCGUUCUGUAAGCCUGUGAAGGUGUGCUGUGAGGCAUGCUGGAGGUAUCAGAAGUGCGAAUGCUGACAUAAGUAACGAUAAAGCGGGUGAAAAGCCCGCUCGCCGGAAGACCAAGGGUUCCUGUCCAACGUUAAUCGGGGCAGGGUGAGUCGACCCCUAAGGCGAGGCCGAAAGGCGUAGUCGAUGGGAAACAGGUUAAUAUUCCUGUACUUGGUGUUACUGCGAAGGGGGGACGGAGAAGGCUAUGUUGGCCGGGCGACGGUUGUCCCGGUUUAAGCGUGUAGGCUGGUUUUCCAGGCAAAUCCGGAAAACUAAGGCUGAGGCGUGAUGACGAGGCACUACGGUGCUGAAGCAACAAAUGCCCUGCUUCCAGGAAAAGCCUCUAAGCAUCAGGUAACAUCAAAUCGUACCCCAAACCGACACAGGUGGUCAGGUAGAGAAUACCAAGGCGCUUGAGAGAACUCGGGUGAAGGAACUAGGCAAAAUGGUGCCGUAACUUCGGGAGAAGGCACGCUGAUAUGUAGGUGAAGUCCCUCGCGGAUGGAGCUGAAAUCAGUCGAAGAUACCAGCUGGCUGCAACUGUUUAUUAAAAACACAGCACUGUGCAAACACGAAAGUGGACGUAUACGGUGUGACGCCUGCCCGGUGCCGGAAGGUUAAUUGAUGGGGUCAGCGCAAGCGAAGCUCUUGAUCGAAGCCCCGGUAAACGGCGGCCGUAACUAUAACGGUCCUAAGGUAGCGAAAUUCCUUGUCGGGUAAGUUCCGACCUGCACGAAUGGCGUAAUGAUGGCCAGGCUGUCUCCACCCGAGACUCAGUGAAAUUGAACUCGCUGUGAAGAUGCAGUGUACCCGCGGCAAGACGGAAAGACCCCGUGAACCUUUACUAUAGCUUGACACUGAACAUUGAGCCUUGAUGUGUAGGAUAGGUGGGAGGCUUUGAAGUGUGGACGCCAGUCUGCAUGGAGCCGACCUUGAAAUACCACCCUUUAAUGUUUGAUGUUCUAACGUUGACCCGUAAUCCGGGUUGCGGACAGUGUCUGGUGGGUAGUUUGACUGGGGCGGUCUCCUCCUAAAGAGUAACGGAGGAGCACGAAGGUUGGCUAAUCCUGGUCGGACAUCAGGAGGUUAGUGCAAUGGCAUAAGCCAGCUUGACUGCGAGCGUGACGGCGCGAGCAGGUGCGAAAGCAGGUCAUAGUGAUCCGGUGGUUCUGAAUGGAAGGGCCAUCGCUCAACGGAUAAAAGGUACUCCGGGGAUAACAGGCUGAUACCGCCCAAGAGUUCAUAUCGACGGCGGUGUUUGGCACCUCGAUGUCGGCUCAUCACAUCCUGGGGCUGAAGUAGGUCCCAAGGGUAUGGCUGUUCGCCAUUUAAAGUGGUACGCGAGCUGGGUUUAGAACGUCGUGAGACAGUUCGGUCCCUAUCUGCCGUGGGCGCUGGAGAACUGAGGGGGGCUGCUCCUAGUACGAGAGGACCGGAGUGGACGCAUCACUGGUGUUCGGGUUGUCAUGCCAAUGGCACUGCCCGGUAGCUAAAUGCGGAAGAGAUAAGUGCUGAAAGCAUCUAAGCACGAAACUUGCCCCGAGAUGAGUUCUCCCUGACUCCUUGAGAGUCCUGAAGGAACGUUGAAG